ACUGAACGCUGGCGGCAUGCCUUACACAUGCAAGUCGAACGGUAACAGGUCUUCGGAUGCUGACGAGUGGCGAACGGGUGAGUAAUACAUCGGAACGUGCCUAGUAGUGGGGGAUAACUACUCGAAAGAGUGGCUAAUACCGCAUGAGAUCUACGGAUGAAAGCAGGGGAUCGCAAGACCUUGUGCUACUAGAGCGGCCGAUGGCAGAUUAGGUAGUUGGUGGGAUAAAAGCUUACCAAGCCGACGAUCUGUAGCUGGUCUGAGAGGACGAUCAGCCACACUGGGACUGAGACACGGCCCAGACUCCUACGGGAGGCGGCAGUGGGGAAUUUUGGACAAUGGGCGAAAGCCUGAUCCAGCAAUGCCGCGUGUAGGAUGAAGGCCUUCGGGUUGUAAACUGCUUUUGUACGGAACGAAAAGCCCCGGGUUAAUACCCUGGGGUCAUGACGGUACCGUAAGAAUAAGCACCGGCUAACUACGUGCCAGCCGCCGCCGUAA
This 498-nucleotide ribosomal RNA is filed under the name uncultured bacterium. RNAcentral's name for it is "partial 16S ribosomal RNA". It matches the Rfam family "Bacterial small subunit ribosomal RNA", at positions 30 to 523 of the family's 1533-position model. The record is from RNAcentral.